RNAcentral lists this long non-coding RNA (4120 nucleotides) under Olea europaea subsp. europaea. Lineage: Eukaryota; Viridiplantae; Streptophyta; Magnoliopsida; Lamiales; Oleaceae. The record is from RNAcentral.
AGAAAUUGUAAGGUAUAUAUAAGAGUUGUUGAAAGAAAAUAACUUUAUUGUAUGAAAUAUAUGUUAUUAGAUUUAUGAAAGUUUGUUUAUUUGAGUGAAAAGUGAUAUUUUAUCACAACUUCUAGCCAUCAUACUUUAGGUUUUUUUUUUUUUUUUAAUCUUCUUUCUUGAGUAAUUUUUACUCUUUUUGAUCCUAAUUCUCUCCUCCACUUCAUCUUUAUAUUGGUUUGCUGUCUUCGUCUGCCAUCGCUUCAACCACCUGAACUUCGUUCCCAAACACAUGUAGAUUUUUGAAUUUCUACAUUGUUUCUAGAUGUACUUGAGCCCAAAAAUGCUUUAUUUAAUUCUUAUUAUCGUACUGUUGACUAGUAUAAUAUCUUUGAAUAAAUUGAGGAUGAAAUUAAUGAGUCAUCUAUUAUAAAAAAGACAAACAUAUUUCAAUAUGUCAAACAAUUAAAAAGAGAAGUCACUAAUUUUUUCAGUCCCGCAAAUCAUAAUUUGAUUUUGUCUAUACCUUUUGGCAUAAAGAGUAGUGGAGACAUACUAAUAAGAAUAAACUAGGUGGGAUAGGCAGGUGAUAUAUAGCUUGGGUCCCAAGUCAGCCUGGUUGCGAGAAAUAUGGAAAUAUUUCCAAUGCUAACUCGAAAAAUUCAAACUUUUUAGCAAUUUUGCCAAUCAAACAGGGCCAAUGACUAGUGUUCUAAAAGGCUGAUGUUCAGCCAAAACACCAAGCCAAGUGGCUUGGCGCCUUAAUAGGUAGUUAACAAUUUCCAUUGACUGCGCGCAUCGGCGAGCAUUAUCAUCCUUUUUUAAUUUUUUUUUUUUUUUUUUGUGGUGUUAAAAAAUUAUCAAUGGCUAAUUUCUUCAUUUUGCCCUAAUUUAAAACAACCAAUUGUAUUGGAAGACAUGGAGGAUGAAUUUAAUGAAGAAGAGAUAUUGAAUUGGAGUUCAAUAAAAAGUUAAAUAAGAUUUAAGUUCCUAUAUUAUAUAUUUACUAAUUUGUAUUUAAAUUUGAAAUUUAUCUUUUUAUUGAAAAUUUUGAAAAAAGUGUAUAACAUUCCUAUAAAUCUGUUUUAAAUGUUUAGUAAGUAUUAUUUUUAAUUAUUAAAUAUUUAUUGAUUUAUUAAAAAUUAAAAUAAUAUUGAAAUAAGAAAAUGCAUUUUUACGCUUUUUUACGCCUAAACCUCGCCUAAGCUUGCAUUGCCCAUACCUUGGCCUCAACGCAUUGCCACGCAUUACGACUUUUAGAACACUGCCAAUGAUAGGCCUGUUAACAGGUCAAGGUGUUGGCAACACCUUGGGCCUUGAUUGUUAUAUUGUGGGCCCCAUGAAAUUCACACCUCGGUCCUGGAUUUAAACCCGGGAUUUAAUCCCGAGUUUUGUUGCAAGCACCACUUUUUAGAGUCCGCAAGUUAUGAAGGAGUCCUCUUUUAACCCUUUAUCUGGUAAUAACAUCAACCCUUUGUCUGGUAAUAACACCAACCAUAUGAUGAUCUAUCAUCUCGAUCGGAAGAAAGUUUGAAUGGUUUAUUCAAUGUAAGGGCUUGAUUGGUCGUACUUAUACAGCAGUGGUGCCCCGAAACAAAGGGGCCAUCCAUUCGCAGUCGCUACGACAGGGUCAUUUUGUAAUCCGAAUGCCACAAAAAAUUAGGUUAGAAUGGCCUUUUCUAUUUCCAACAUUAAAAGUAUUGUAAUAAAUAAUCAGGGCCGACCCUCAUAUUUUGGGGGCCUUAUGCCAAUUUCAAACUGGGGCCCUAUAUUUUGAGUUAUUUUGUAUAGAGUUUUAGCCCCUGUUUGAUGGAGAUUAAGCUAUUGUUUGAGGCCUAUUUUUUCAUCAAAAUACAUUUUUCAACAAUAAUUUGACACCAUUUCAACCAUACAUUUUUCAAUAAAAUAAUAUUACACGUAAAUCCAAAUUUUUUCUUAUUUUUUAACCAAACAUUCUCCAUCGUAACACUAUUUCAAAAUGAAUUUGUUUUUUUUUUAAAGAAAAAAUGGGGCUCAAACAACUCCUAAAAUAUAAUUUUCAUUUUUUUCAAAAUGCAUUAUUAGUUUCUUAUGUUUGUAUAUGAUACUUCUAUAUUACAGAAUUUCAUAAAUAUAAUUUUCAUUUUUUUUCGACCAACCAAUUAACUUUACAUAAUUUGGGACCCUCACCAAAAUGGGGCCUUAGGCGAUCGUCUGCUUCGCCUGUACUCAGGGCCACCAUAUAAAUACUUUCUAUAAUUAACACUGGAACUAAAAUACUCGAGAUUUUUCAAGAAUUUUGUUAUCUGAUCAAGAACUCCACUAAAACGACCCUGAGAGAUGAAAAGAUAGACAUGCAUAUCUAUCACAUGCAUUUAUUAAAUGGAAAAUCAUUAAUGUUAAAUAAUUCAUUAACUUCACUAAACUACUUCAAUUAAGAUUUCAUUAAUGUUAAAGUUUUCUUAAUAAAUUACAUAAGCCACAUAAAUUCUUACGUUAUCAAUUAGAGAGCGGUUUACAGAUGAAGGAAUGGGGAAAUUAAAUCCCUCUCUUAGUUGUCCACUACAAUAAUUCUUGAUUUAUUGCAUUAUAUAAAUCAAGAGUCAAGACCUAUCUUUCAUUCACAAAUUGAGAUGCCUUCCAAAUUUUUUCUCUUGGUUAUUGGUAUUCUGGCUUGCACCAGCACUGCAAGAAACCUUGUUGGCCCAAAGGGUUCUUUCAAUGAUGAGAAAACAUUCUCCUUGGAUCAUCCAAUUUCAGGAUUCAGAGGGUUUGGUGAUGGAGGUGGUUUAGGGGGCGGUAUUGGGGGAGGGAUAGGUGGAGGAGCUGGUGGCGGCAUUGGUGGACCUGGUGGAAGUAUCAGUGGAGGGUUUGGUGGAGGUGGAGGAGGAGGAAUAGAUGAGGAUGGUUCUAUAGGCUUUGGAGGAGGAAUUGGUGGUGGGAUUGAAGGUAAUAUUGGAGGAGUACGACAAGGUUUUGGUGGCGGAGUCGGUGGUGGAGGCGGAUUGGGUGGAGGAUCUGGUGGUGGAUUUGGUGGAGGAGCUGGUGUGUAAUUGAAGAUGUUAGGUACAUUCGCACGCUUUAUUUUUCCAUGCAAAUUAUCUCUUUAUGUUCUAAUGUUAAUUUUGGUUAUAUUCUUAUAAUCUGGUCACAAGUUUAAUUCGUUCUUAUUCAAAAUAAUGUAAUCCUUAUGACCAUCUUAAAGUUGGUUAAGUGGGAAAUGUAAUGCGAAAGAGCUAGCAGAAAUUUGUUUUAAACCAAACUCAAUUUCAAGUACAUGUUCUCGACAAAUACAUAUUGAGAUGUUUGUGAAGAUAUAUAAAUAUUUAUUAGUUAUAUUGAAGACCUAUCAAAGAAAGGAAAACAAAAACUACAAUUAAAAAAUACUUUCUAAUUCAUUAUCGUUUUUUAAGCAAAACACCAGUUGAGAAUAGAUGGGAUUUUUAGGUCUCCACCUAAACUUAGUAAUUUAGGUUUGGACUCUUCAUCCCUCUUUAUCAAUAGAGAACAUAUCAACUUUCCUAUACAUUUUACCCAAAUAAAUAAAUAAAUAAAAUUAAAUAAACAAUUAUCCUUAAGACACCAUUCACUCUGAGCUGUAGAUAUUCUGUUUCGAAGGUGCCUAAAAAAUAUAGACACAGUAAUUUAUUAUCGACAAAUGAUUGUGUUCAAUUUUUCAUUAUUGCAUCUAUUCAAUUUGUUGAUGCAUUUUGCAUUAAGAUUCUUCAUUUUAUAAUCAUUCUUUAUUGCUUUGUCAUUUUACAGAUUGUAAUUUUAAGUACAAUGAAAGUAUUAAUCACAAAAAAACUAAAGGUGAAGUCUAUAGUAUUAUACUUCUACCUAUUUAUGAUUUGGUUCAUUUAAACUUUAUCAAAUAUAUAAGUUACAAAUUUAUUUAGUUUAUUUUGUUCUUAGGGAUGCAAAACAUCACAUACCUUGGCUGCUUCAACAUACAUGGCAUAAGAAAGCAUUAGAAAAAAGUCGACGCUUAUCAUGGACGGAAUGUACUUCUUCAUAAGGGUUAGUAUGUUUCAUUGGAUUUCUGGUGAUAAGUCAUUCACUAGUGAUGCAUAAUGUUAUCACUCUGUUUAGGGUUUACAAACUUCGAUUGAGUGUUUUGUUAUUUUCAUCUUUAAUCUCUACUGUUUAUUUG